Long non-coding RNA from Stegostoma tigrinum, 1787 nucleotides. RefSeq lists it as uncharacterized. The transcript has 5 exons. The record is from RefSeq and is a predicted model, not a curated record. Lineage: Eukaryota; Metazoa; Chordata; Chondrichthyes; Orectolobiformes; Stegostomatidae.
UUUCCUCUUUCAGAGAAGGAGCGGGAGCAUCAGAGGAAGUGACGAGGACCAGAGGGGCAGCCGGGAAGGAAAGCAGUGAGUAUAAAUACUCACCCUUCGACGCCAACGGCCAUUUUGAGUGCGAGCAGCAGCAGAGGCAAGACGGACCCGGAAGACUGCAGCUAAGGUAAAGCAGUUUAUUUUUAAAAUUACUUACCGGUAGCGGGCAGCGGUGUUUUUUUUCCUCUUUCAGAGAAGGAGCGGGAGCAUCAGAGGAAGUGACGAGGACCAGAGGGGCAGCCGGGAAGGAAAGCAGUGAGUAUAAAUACUCACCCUUCGACGCCAACGGCCAUUUUGAGUGCGAGCAGCAGCAGAGGCAAGACGGACCCGGAAGACUGCAGCUAAGGUAAAGCAGUUUAUUUUUAAAAUUACUUACCGGUAGCGGGCAGCGGUGUUUUUUUUCCUCUUUCAGAGAAGGAGCGGGAGCAUCAGAGGAAGUGACGAGGACCAGAGGGGCAGCCGGGAAGGAAAGCAGUGAGUAUAAAUACUCACCCUUCGACGCCAACGGCCAUUUUGAGUGCGAGCAGCAGCAGAGGCAAGACGGACCCGGAAGACUGCAGCUAAGGUAAAGCAGUUUAUUUUUAAAAUUACUUACCGGUAGCGGGCAGCGGUGUUUUUUUUUUCCUCUUUCAGAGAAGGAGCGGGAGCAUCAGAGGAAGUGACGAGGACCAGAGGAGCAGCCGGGAAGGAAAGCAGUGAGUAUAAAUACUCACCCUUCGACGCCAACGGCCAUUUUGAGUGCGAGCAGCAGCAGAGGCAAGACGGACCCGGAAGACUGCAGCUAAGGUAAAGCAGUUUAUUUUUAAAAUUACUUACCGGUAGCGGGCAGCGGUGUUUUUUUUCCUCUUUCAGAGAAGGAGCGGGAGCAUCAGAGGAAGUGACGAGGACCAGAGGGGCAGCCGGGAAGGAAAGCAGUGAGUAUAAAUACUCACCCUUCGACGCCAACGGCCAUUUUGAGUGCGAGCAGCAGCAGAGGCAAGACGGACCCGGAAGACUGCAGCUAAGGUAAAGCAGUUUAUUUUUAAAAUUACUUACCGGUAGCGGGCAGCGGUGUUUUUUUUCCUCUUUCAGAGAAGGAGCGGGAGCAUCAGAGGAAGUGACGAGGACCAGAGGGGCAGCCGGGAAGGAAAGCAGUGACCAUAUAUAUCAGCAAGGCGGCUUAACCCGAGACUCUACAACUGUAGUGUCUCCCACCCGCCGCCCUCCUCUAACCUAGUUAAUAAGGCUAUACACCAAUUCCUCGGGAUCUGCCCAGACUCAUCAUCCCUCCUGGGCCUGGCUUGGCACUCACUACCAAGACUCAGCUAAAUUCGCCUCACUGCCCCCAUGGGCUCGCCACCCCGAGGCCUCACCUGGGCUUGCCACUCCAAUGCCUGAGAAUAAUCUCCGGGAUUUCACACGACCUCCUGUCUCCUCCAUUCAUCUCUGUAUAAAAGCUUACCUCGUGCAGCAGACGCCCUCUUGUUUUCAGCAGCGGGUGUGUGGAGAGAACGCGAGCCAGGAAGGAAUUGACAUAUUCGGGCAUUGCUAAACCCAAAACAUUAAAUGUGGAGGGCCGGUAAGCCACUGGUCGGUGACAGAAGAGCGUUACAAGUAAGGCAAGUUAAGGGAUCGCGAAUGAUGCACUGGAGGAGACUCAGCUCUUGACCUCGUUCAGCAGGCAGACGAUACAAAAGCUCAACACAUGGACCAACAGAUUCAAGAACAGUUUCUUCCCCACUGUCAUUAGAAUUCUGAAUAAACCUCUC